ACUGAACGCUGGCGGCGUGCUUAACACAUGCAAGUCGUACGCGAAAGGGACUUCGGUCCCGAGUAAAGUGGCGCACGGGUGAGUAACACGUGGAUGAUCUGCCUCUAUGAUGGGGAUAACAGUUGGAAACGACUGCUAAUACCGAAUACGCUCAUGAUGAACUUUGUGAGGAAAGGUGGCCUCUGCUUGCAAGCUAUCGCAUAGAGAUGAGUCCGCGUCCCAUUAGCUAGUUGGUGGGGUAACGGCCUA
Molecule: ribosomal RNA, 249 nt
Filed under: uncultured bacterium
Lineage: Bacteria
Description: partial 16S ribosomal RNA
Rfam family: Bacterial small subunit ribosomal RNA
Source: RNAcentral